AGCGUUGUAGCUCAAUGGAAGAGCAACCCAUCUUCAACAGAAAACGGGGAGGCCAUGAGUUCAAUUCUCAUCAACGGUA
This 79-nucleotide transfer RNA is filed under the name Chitinophaga polysaccharea. Its description in RNAcentral is "tRNA-Leu". It matches the Rfam family "tRNA". Rfam says of the family: Transfer RNA (tRNA) molecules are approximately 80 nucleotides in length. Their secondary structure includes four short double-helical elements and three loops (D, anti-codon, and T loops). Further hydrogen bonds mediate the characteristic L-shaped molecular structure. tRNAs have two regions of fundamental functional importance: the anti-codon, which is responsible for specific mRNA codon recognition, and the 3' end, to which the tRNAs corresponding amino acid is attached (by aminoacyl-tRNA synthetases). tRNAs cope with the degeneracy of the genetic code in two manners: having more than one tRNA (with a specific anti-codon) for a particular amino acid; and 'wobble' base-pairing, i.e. permitting non-standard base-pairing at the 3rd anti-codon position. Lineage: Bacteria; Pseudomonadati; Bacteroidota; Chitinophagia; Chitinophagales; Chitinophagaceae. The record is from RNAcentral.